This is a long non-coding RNA of Astatotilapia calliptera (eastern happy), 352 nucleotides long. The record is from Ensembl. NCBI's taxonomy places the organism in Eukaryota, Metazoa, Chordata, Actinopteri, Cichliformes, Cichlidae.
GUUUGUUUACAGUCUGAUGAUGGGACAUCAUGCUCUGCAUCGUCAAAGUUUGCCUCCUCAUUAUUAUUCAUACCCAGUAAUGUGAAUCUUUUCGCAGGAUCAGAAAACAAAACCAGGAGGCGCGUAAAUGUUUCUUCAAAUGUUUCUUCUGGAUGAUGAUAAGACUGUGACACGGGAUGCCACCUUUGGUCUUGUGAUGAAGCAAAGCUCAGGAAGAAGUGGGAUUAAAUGGUACCCACAUGUGUGCUGCUGAGAAGGAUGUACAGGGGCACCUGCAGCCAAAUCCAAGCCUCAGAGCAGCAGUUUGUGCUCACAGAUGGUGACGGUGUGGAGAGACGGUGGUGUUUCCUCA